GGAGAAAAGCAGGGGAUCGCAAGACCUUGCGCUCAUUGAGCGGCCGAUGCCUGAUUAGCUAGUUGGUGAGGUAAAGGCUUACCAAGGCGACGAUCAGUAGCUGGUCUGAGAGGACGACCAGCCACACUGGGACUGUGACACGGCCCAGACUCCUACGGGAGGCAGCAGUGGGGAAUUUUGGACAAUGGGGGAAACCCUGAUCCAGCCAUGCCGCGUGAGUGAAGAAGGCCUUCGGGUUGUAAAGCUCUUUCAGCCGGAACGAAACAGUCACGGAUAAUACCCGUGACUACUGACGGUACCGGAAGAAGAAGCACCGGCUAACUACGUGCCAGCAGCCGCGGUAAUACGUAGGGUGCGAGCGUUAAUCGGAAUUACUGGGCGUAAAGCGUGCGCAGGCGGUUUUGUAAGUCAGAAGGGAAAUCCCCGGGCUUAACCUGGGAACUGCGU
This 447-nucleotide ribosomal RNA is filed under the name uncultured beta proteobacterium. Its description in RNAcentral is "bacterial SSU rRNA". It matches the Rfam family "Bacterial small subunit ribosomal RNA", at positions 198 to 626 of the family's 1533-position model. The record is from RNAcentral. Lineage: Bacteria; Pseudomonadati; Pseudomonadota; Betaproteobacteria.